UAUCUUUGCAGAAAAAAUCAUACUUUGGAAAGUGAGAGAUAAAAAAAUAGAAUUUGGGGAAAUGGUUCAAUCCAUACAGAAUUUUUUGUCACAGCUGUUACUUGCCUUUAUUCCUCACUUCCACUACUGCAAAACCGACGGCAGGUUACUCAGAAUCGGGAAAUUCAAUGGUUUUCGUAAUAUCUUUUCUGCAAUUUCUGCAAUUUCUGAUCUGUAUCAUUGACAGCACGAUACAAAUUGGGCAGACUCUUGGGGUGUAAAAGAUAUUUUAGCCAAAGAAUCAUGGACAAGGAUGAUAAAAAUGUUGCGAGUAUUUUGAAGUUCUCAAUACUUUCACCACCUAAUGAAAUUAAGAUAAGUUUAAUGACAUGCUUGAAGCAGAUUUAGUUUCUAGUGCAUGAGUAAUCUCAAAGUUGUUGAGAGGGUUUUAUUUCUUCCUAUGAUAUUUAAGAAUUUUUAGUAAGGAUUUUAGUUCAACAAAAGAUUUGGGAUGUAUAUAUAAUUUUUUGUGGUGAGAUGUACUUUGAUCAUUAGGUGCCAAUUUUAAUAGAACAAUUAAAAUGUUCAU
Long non-coding RNA from Cryptomeria japonica (Japanese cedar), 568 nucleotides. RefSeq lists it as uncharacterized. NCBI's taxonomy places the organism in Eukaryota, Viridiplantae, Streptophyta, Pinopsida, Cupressales, Cupressaceae. The transcript has 3 exons. The record is from RefSeq and is a predicted model, not a curated record.